AUUGAACGCUGGCGGCAUGCUUUACACAUGCAAGUCGAACGGCAGCGCGGGCUUCGGCCUGGCGGCGAGUGGCGAACGGGUGAGUAAUAUAUCGGAACGUACCCAAGAGUGGGGGAUAACGUAGCGAAAGUUACGCUAAUACCGCAUACGAUCUAAGGAUGAAAGCAGGGGAUCGCAAGACCUUGUGCUCCUGGAGCGGCCGAUAUCUGAUUAGCUAGUUGGUGAGGUAAAGGCUCACCAAGGCAACGAUCAGUAGCUGGUCUGAGAGGACGACCAGCCACACUGGAACUGAGACACGGUCCAGACUCCUACGGGAGGCAGCAGUGGGGAAUUUUGGGCAAUGGGCGAAAGCCUGACCCAGCAACGCCGCGUGGGUGACGAAGGCCUUCGGGUCGUAAAGCCCUUUCUGGGGGACGGAUAAUGACGGUACCCCACGGAAGAAGCACCGGCUAACUACGUGCCAGCAGCCGCGGUAAU
Molecule: ribosomal RNA, 477 nt
Filed under: uncultured bacterium
Lineage: Bacteria
Description: bacterial SSU rRNA
Rfam family: Bacterial small subunit ribosomal RNA
Source: RNAcentral